GAUGAACGCUGGCGGCGUGCCUAAUACAUGCAAGUCGAACGCAUUGUGGUUGAAAUGAUAUGAAGAACUUGUUCAGAUUUGAUUUUAAACAUUGCAAUGAGUGGCGAACGGGUGAGUAACACGUGGGAAACCUACCUCUUAGCAGGGGAUAACAUUUGGAAACAAAUGCUAAUACCGUAUAAUAUUAAAACCGCAUGGUUUUAGUUUAAAAAGAUGGUCUUUGCUAUCACUAAGAGAUGGUCCCGCGGUGUAUUAGUAGUUGGUGAGGUAAUGGCUCACCAAGACAAUGAUACAUAGCCGAGUUGAGAGACUGACCGGCACAAUGGGACUGAGACACGGCCCAUACUCCUACGGGAGCAGCAGUAGGGAAUCUUCCACAAUGGACGAAAGUCU
This 393-nucleotide ribosomal RNA is filed under the name uncultured bacterium. RNAcentral describes it as "bacterial SSU rRNA". It matches the Rfam family "Bacterial small subunit ribosomal RNA", at positions 28 to 384 of the family's 1533-position model. The record is from RNAcentral.